This is a long non-coding RNA of Gallus gallus (chicken), 644 nucleotides long. RefSeq lists it as uncharacterized. The transcript is spliced from 3 exons. NCBI's taxonomy places the organism in Eukaryota, Metazoa, Chordata, Aves, Galliformes, Phasianidae. The record is from RefSeq and is a predicted model, not a curated record.
UAAUGCUUUUACAAUGGAAAUGUUUAUUUCCUGGAUGUGUGAAGGAGGGCAAGUGAUAUUCCCAGUUCAUGCAACAUAUAAAAGCAGGAACUUCAACCUCCAGCUCCAAAACUGGGAGCUACUGUCCUAAUGAGGAACCAACUUGUUCUGAGGAGCAUCUGAAUAAAGAGGGAACAGUUUUCUGUCUCAGUAAUGGGGAAGGACACCUUUUGAAGUCAGAGCUUUGGCAUGCGCUCCACGCUCCUGAAGGAGUUGGAUUACUCAACUGAGCUGAAAUGGAGCACCACGACCUCAGUUCCUCGUUGUCCCGUGAUGAGCAGGACAGGUGGCAGAGGACAGGAGGUAUAAACCUCAGUAUCUUUGGACUAUGCCCAGUGCUCCUUGCAAUGAGCUGAUCUGUGGAAUAUCUGGAUUUUGCUUGGCGCUGGCUGUGAGGUAAGAUUUCUUGUUUCCUGUGGUUUUGCUUGGUGUUAAGAAGAAAAAAAAAAAAAAAAAAAAAAAAAGCUAAGUGCUUUCAGGCUUUCAUGCAAUUGGGUCCUCGUGGUUCAGUCCCUCAUAAAAGAUGUUCUUUUUUCAGCUUUGUAAACACUCCACUUUCAGCCUUUUAUUGUUCUGUAGAAAGAGAAAUGUGCCAUGAAAUGCAC